GACGAACGCUGGCGGCGUGCUUAACACAUGCAAGUCGAGCGGGCCCGCCCCUGUUUUUGGGGGUGGGUUGAGUGGCGAACGGGUGAGUAUCACGUGAGUAACCUGCCCCCUGCUCCUGGAUAACUGCUUGAAAGGGCGGCUAAUACGGGGUGUGCCGGCUGGUCCGCAUGGGCCUGGUCGGGAUAGUUUCAUCUUCGGGUGUUUCGGUGGGGGAUGGGCUCGCGGCCUAUCAGCUUGUUGGUGGGGUGAUGGCCCACCAAGGCGGUGACGGGUAGCCGGCCUGAGAGGGUGGGCGGCCACACUGGGACGGAGACACGGCCCAGACUCCUGCGGGAGGCAGCAGUGGGGGGUAUUGCACAAUGGGCGGAAGCCUGAUGCAGCGACGUCGCGUGAGGGAUGGAGGCCUUCGGGUUGUGAACCUCUUUCUCCGGUGGUGAAGGCCCUGUCCGUUGCGGCGGGGUUGACGGUAGCCGGGGAUGAAGCGCCGGCUAACUACGUG
This 499-nucleotide ribosomal RNA is filed under the name uncultured bacterium. RNAcentral describes it as "partial 16S ribosomal RNA". It matches the Rfam family "Bacterial small subunit ribosomal RNA", at positions 28 to 507 of the family's 1533-position model. The record is from RNAcentral.